CUCUGCGAGCUGAGUUCAUAGGACAGUGUGUUUAAUAUGCAAUUUGGUGCUAAUAAAUGACCCUUUCUUCCUAAUGUCGGCAGAAUGGAUUUGAAUAACUGAAGCUGUUAUUGCACAAGUUCAAAGGACGUUGUUUGACAAGCUGUGGGCCAGACCUUCCCAUUGCUGUGCAGAACCAGGACUUUGUCAGCUUUGCUACAGCAACCUGAGCCAACGUCUGGCUUGUUGCUCCGCAGCCCGCUCACUGCUCCCAGGAGGGAAAGGGAAAACUGCUUCAAUGGGAAUAAGGCAGAAAAAGACAAAGGAAACGUCUUAUCCUUCAUAACAUCUCUGCCCCUUGUCGGGUAUUCACGCAUUUCAGCAGUCAGCAAUGUCUGUAAUCACUACUGCUUCUUUCAUUUUUCUAAAGCAGCACAGAAAAAUGAUGAGGCAUUCUCUUUCCUACCUUUUACAACUGUGUGUCAGUGUUUAAUUUUGAAAGCUCUCUCAUUUUAGUCGCUAUUUUCUUAUUGCAGGCAAGCAGAAUUUAUAGAAAUAUUGAUCUUCUUUUAAUGAGUUUUAAAAGAAAACAGAAUGAGCGUGAUUCAGAGUAGCGAGGUGUUAGACUGACUGUGUCCUGGUUUUUAACCGCUACUGCUGUAUCUUUGGAAUUUGCUGUAUUUUAUCACCGAUACCUGCUCAUUGCGGUUUGCUGCUUGCAGGGAGGUGUUGGUGUGUUGCUGGCAGUGGUCACAACCUGCGUCUGCAUUUGCCGUGUGCGAGGUCAGCGUUCCAGCAGCCCCGGGAUGCUCGAGGGGGGAUGUCCCGAGCGGCUCCUGCAGCCACGCUGGGCUGGUGACGCAGCAGCGGGAGACGCCGGAUCUACUAGAAACAAGGCAAGGAGACUUCACAGAGCAACGCUGUGCUCUUUCCAUGUCGAGGCAGCUGAAUGUGUAUGAGCGAGCUUGGAAUGGACUAAACACAGGCAGGAACAGCCCCAGGAGCAGUUACGUGAUCCUCACUGGCGGCGAUGGCCCCGGGCGCGGUGCCCUGCUCACAGCUCCCUGCCACUGGGGCGAAGCGCUGCCUGAGAAGGAAGAUAGGAAGACACCUACUGAUCUACGAUUUCUUGGAGGUUGGCUUGCAAGAUGAUCAUCAGCUCUUUGAACGUCAUCCACUUCUUCACGUAGACUGGAACUUCCUCUUGG
Molecule: long non-coding RNA, 1187 nt
Organism: Columba livia (rock pigeon)
Lineage: Eukaryota; Metazoa; Chordata; Aves; Columbiformes; Columbidae
Exons: 3
Source: RefSeq, a predicted model, not a curated record